Molecule: ribosomal RNA, 252 nt
Filed under: uncultured prokaryote
Description: partial 16S ribosomal RNA
Rfam family: Bacterial small subunit ribosomal RNA
Source: RNAcentral
AGACAGAGGGGGCAAGCGUUGCUCGGAAUUACUGGGCGUAAAGGGCGCGUAGGCGGAAUGGCAAGUCGGUCGUGAAAUCCUUCGGCUCAACCGAAGAACGUCGAUCGAAACUGCCGUUCUUGAGGAUUGCAGAGGAGACUGGAAUUCCCGGUGUAGCGGUGAAAUGUGUAGAGAUCGGGAGGAACACCGGUGGCGAAGGCGGGUCUCUGGGCAAUUCCUGACGCUGAGGCGCGAAAGCGUGGGGAGCAAACG